Molecule: ribosomal RNA, 768 nt
Filed under: uncultured bacterium
Lineage: Bacteria
Description: bacterial SSU rRNA
Rfam family: Bacterial small subunit ribosomal RNA
Source: RNAcentral
UCGAGGGGCAGCGGGGUAGUGCUUGCACUACUGCCGGCGACCGCCGUACGGGUGAGUAACACGUAUGGAACCUGCCCGCAGCAGGGGGAUAAGCGGAAGAAAUUCCGUCUAAUACCGCGUAAGAACGUUGGGAGGCAUCUCCCGAUGUUUAAAGAUUUAUCGGCUGCGGAUGGCCAUGCGGCGCAUUAGCUAGUCGGCGGGGUAACGGCCCACCGAGGCGACGAUGCGUAGGGGUUCUGAGAGGAAGGUCCCCCACACUGGUACUGAGACACGGACCAGACUCCUACGGGAGGCAGCAGUGAGGAAUAUUGGUCAAUGGCCGAGAGGCUGAACCAGCCAAGUCGCGUGAGGGAAGACGGCCCUACGGGUUGUAAACCUCUUUUGUCGGGGAGCAAAGCGAACCACGUGUGGUUCAUUGAGAGUACCCGAAGAAAAAGCAUCGGCUAACUCCGUGCCAGCAGCCGCGGUAAUACGGAGGAUGCGAGCGUUAUCCGGAUUUAUUGGGUUUAAAGGGUGCGCAGGCGGAGGUGCAAGUCAGCGGUCAAAUUGCGGGGCUCAACCCCGUACUGCCGUUGAAACUGCAUCCCUUGAGUGCGCGAGAAGUAUGCGGAAUGCGUGGUGUAGCGGUGAAAUGCAUAGAUAUCACGCAGAACUCCGAUUGCGAAGGCAGCAUACCGGCGCGCAACUGACGCUCAUGCACGAAAGCGUGGGUAUCGAACAGGAUUAGAUACCCUGGUAGUCCACNGCAGUAACGAUGAACACUAACUG